ACGCCGCCAUGCGGACGGACGCGGGGCGAUGACGUAAGGCCCGCGCGGCUCGGCGGCCGGAGCCGCCUUCGUUCCCUUUUGUCCAAGAUGGCGGCGGCCGCCGGAGGCGUCUCCUGAGCCGCGGGCCCCGGCGCCAUGAAGCGGGGCAGCGAACGGGACUCCAGCCCGCCGGGGGCCGGGGGCGGCCGCGCCGCCGCCGCCAAGCGGCCCCGCGAGCGCGACCGCGAGAGUAGCAGCCGGCGCGGCCCGCACCGGAGCUCGGGCGCCUCCCGCAGCAGCCGGGACAAGUCCACGCCCGGCGGCGGCGGCGGCGGCGGCACCACCGGCGGCGGCAGCGGCGGAGGUGGCUCCAGCUCCCGCAGCCACCGCGGCGAUGAGCGCGCCGGCGGCGGCGGCGGCGGCGGCGGCGACUCGAACCACCGCCCGGCGGGGAGCGGCUCGGCCUCGGGCGCCCGCGGCGGCAGCCAGGCCGCCCCCUCGUCCUCCUCCUCCUCGUCGCGGGCGCUCGGCGUGCCCAAGGCCAAGGCCCUGCCGGGCGCCGUGGUGGCCCCCUCGCUGCUGCUGGCCGGGCCGCCGCCGGGCGCCGCGCCCUCGCUGCUGCUGGCGCCGCUGGGGGGCUCGGCGCUGGCCGGGGAGCCGCCCGGCUCCUGUGAGUACAAGACGCUGCUGGUGAGCGGGCUGAGCGCGGCCCUGCCCGACCAGCUGCUGGAGGACGGGCUGUUCCGCCUCUUCCAGCGCUUCGCGGGGGGGGGCGCCGGGGACAUCAGUGUCAAACUCUCCCACACGCCCGAGCUCGGCCGCGUCGCCUACGUCAACUUCCGACACCCCGGGGAUGCCCGCGACGCCCGCCGGCACGCCCGGGCCCGGCAGCUGCUGCUCUACGACCGACCCCUCAAGGUGGAGCCGGUGUACCUGCGGGGGGGUCGCAGGAGCCGCACGCCGCCCCCCGCGCCCUCGCCGGAGCCCCUGGGCUACCUGCCACCCAUCCACAGCACCUACCAGUACAAGCAGCGAUCGCUCUCUCCUGUCACCAGCCCCCUGCUGCGGGAGCCGAGGCCCAGGCACGCUCAUGCCGCCGCCGCCGCCUUCGCUUUGGAAGCGGCUGCCAUCGGGCUCUCCCGGGAGCGGGAGAGGGCCCUGGAUUACUACGGGCUGUACGACGAACGUGGCCGCCCUUACAGCUACCCCAUUGUGGCAGAGGAAGACCUGAUGCCGGAGGACGACCAGAGGGCGACCCGCAACCUCUUCAUCGGCAACCUGGACCACAACGUCUCAGAGGUGGAGCUGAGGCGUGCCUUUGAGAAGUACGGCAUCAUCGAAGAAGUGGUGAUCAAGCGCCCUGCCCGUGGCCAAGGUGGGGCUUACGCUUUCCUCAAGUUCCAAAACUUGGACAUGGCGCAUCGGGCCAAGGUUGCCAUGUCGGGCCGCGUUGUUGGCAGGAACCCUAUCAAAAUUGGCUACGGGAAAGCCAACCCUACCACCAGGCUGUGGGUGGGUGGUCUUGGUCCAAGUACUUCCUUGGCUGCCCUGGCAAGGGAGUUCGACCGCUUCGGCAGCAUCAGGACUAUUGACUACGUGAAGGGAGACAGCUUCGCUUACAUCCAGUACGAAAGCUUGGAUGCUGCCCAGGCCGCCUGUGCGCAGAUGAGGGGCUUUCCUUUGGGUGGACCGGAGAGGAGACUCCGAGUGGAUUUUGCCAAAGCAGAAGAGACGAGAUACCCGCAGCAGUACCAGCCUGCACCACUCCCCGUGCACUACGAACUGCUAGCUGACGGGUACAGCAGACACCGAAGCCUAGAGCAAGACUUGAGGGUGCGAGAUAGGACUCCUCCGCAUCUCCUGUACUCGGACAGAGACAGGAGCUUUGCAGAGGCAGACUGGGCCAGCCCUGCCAAAAAUGCUGAACGCAGAAACAACUUGGAAAGCUACAGCCGAUCGGUGCGUAGCCGGAGCGGAGAGCGCUGGGGCAGCGACAGCGAUCGCAGCAUGCCCAAACCGUGGGAAGAGAGGCGGAAACGCCGGAGUCUUUCCAGUGACCGCGGGAGGACUACUCACUCACCUUACGAGGACAGAAGCAGGACAAAGGCCAGUGGGCCAGCUUUAGACAGCAGCCCAGUCAGGGCUCGCAAGGAAAAUCACACUACAGAAUCUGGAACGGAGAAAGAGCAGAGUAACUCUCUUCAGAACAAUCGUCAUGCGACUGAGGAGAAACCCCAUCGUGAGCCAUCUGAUGCUCCCCAGCCUAAAAAAAGGGACAGCGAACGCAAUCAUCGAACUGGUGAAUCGGAAUCAAAAACUCACGAGGAGCCAAAAUCUGAGACCAAAAAGCUAAAGAAUUUAUCGGAAUAUGCUCAGACGCUGCAGCUUGCUUGGAAUGGGCUUCUUGUGCUAAAAAACAGCUGCUUCCCCACCUCUAUGCACAUCCUGGAGGGAGACCUCGGUGUUAUCAACGGACUCCUUAAAGACCAUUCAUCCGGCGGGAAGUUAACGCAGCUCAAAAUCGCUCAGAGACUUCGGCUCGACCAGCCCAAGCUGGAUGAAGUAACUCGCCGUAUCAAACAAGGCAGCCCCAACGGCUACGCUGUGCUCCUGGCGACCCAAUCCACCCUGGCAGGGGCAGGGGCUGAGGGGACCUUCCCUGUUGUAGAGCCUGGCUUGCAGCGACGGCUUCUCAGGAAUCUGGUCUCCUACUUGAAACAGAAGCAGGCUGCUGGGGUUAUCAGCCUGCCCGUGGGAGGGGCGAAGGGCAGAGACAGCACAGGCAUGCUUUACGCGUUCCCUCCUUGUGAAUUCUCUCAGCAGUACCUCCAGUCAGCACUAAGGACAUUGGGAAAGUUAGAAGAAGAACAUAUGGUGAUAGUUAUAGUCAAAGACACUGCCUAGCCCACACUGUCUUUUCAAAUUCCAUGUUUUCUUUGUGUGUCACACAACGCAGUUGUUUUUAAGGCUGAUCAUUUUGGUGGAGGCUCAAAACACCUCGACCAAAGUGGGAGGCAGCUGACAGUUGUGAGCAUGUGUGCAUGAAUGGAGGACCAACAAAUCUCCCUCCUGCAAACCAACCAGUAUAAAUGAAAAGCUGGAGCAUUUAAGGAAAAAAAACACCUGGGAGAGAAGCAGCAUCAGCCCUCUAACCUGAUGACCCUGAGCCUUCCCAGGUCCCCAGCAUGCAAGUGAGCCACAGUCACUGCUUGAACAGACUGUGCCAAGUCCUGCCGUCCUGUCUGCCAUCCCAUCCCCUCACAUGUACAGCCAGGCUGGUUCCAAGAGAAACGGCCCUAAAAAAGGGUAGAUAGUUACAGCAAAACAGCACUGCACCUGUAUCUCACAGCUUGCAAGACUUGGUCCUUAAAUUGGGAUGGGAUGUGGUUCUAGGGAGAAGACACACGAUGGGGUGUGGGAGGAACACCACGGCCCUAGUUAGGAGGCCUAAGCCACCCAGUGAUGUUGGAAGAUGGUGGGUGCAGCAGUGCUGGGGGGUUGUUUGGGGGUCUGUCAGCCUGGUACAGCGGUGGCAGUAAAGUAAUUGCAACAGGGUAAUGGUCUCUGACUCCUUGAGGGUGGUCUGAAACUUUAAGUGGGAUCAGGGUAUGAGAUGGAGGAUUUGGUGGUCUGAGAGCAUUAGUGUUUAGACUGAGUUGUUCCUUUUAAAAAAAACCAAACACAUCCAUUCAGUAAAUAUUCUGUCUUACAAAGCCUCUUUUUAACAUUAGUUGCUGGCUGUCUUUACUACAAUAGAAACCCGGACAAGAGGGCUAGCCCUAGGCAGUCCUGGGUGCCCAGCAUGUGCAAUGACCAGUGCUGACGAGCCAAUCAUACCUUAAUUAUUAUUACCCUUUGCUAACAUGCAGGCUAAACUACUGACCAGCCCUGAGGUUCCUACCCUGCUCUCCAAGCCGUGGCCUGUACGAGAUGUUCGAACCACUGCGCUGCAGGGGUAUGGGCAUAACCUCCCAGGUGCUGGCACGGUG
RNA transcript from Falco peregrinus (peregrine falcon), 3968 nucleotides. It is a transcript of the gene named RNA binding motif protein 15B, with no coding region annotated. Lineage: Eukaryota; Metazoa; Chordata; Aves; Falconiformes; Falconidae. The transcript is spliced from 2 exons. The record is from RefSeq and is a predicted model, not a curated record.